UUAGUAGCAAUACUAACUGAGUGGCGAACGGGUGAGUAACACGUGGGUGACCUACCUUCGAGUGGGGGAUAACGUCCCGAAAGGGACGCUAAUACCGCAUAACAUCCUGCCUUUGAACAGGCGGAGAUCAAAGCCGGGGAUCGCAAGACCUGGCGCUUGAUGAGGGGCCCGCGUCUGAUUAGCUAGUUGGUGAGGUAACGGCCCACCAAGGCGACGAUCAGUAUCCGGCCUGAGAGGGCGGACGGACACACUGGGACUGAGACACGGCCCAGACUCCUACGGGAGGCAGCAGUGGGGAAUUGUUCACAAUGGGCGCAAGCCUGAUGACGCAACGCCGCGUGGAGGAUGAAGGUCUUCGGAUUGUAAACUCCUGUUGCUCGGGACGAAAAGCCUCGACCUAAUACGUCGAGGUCUGACGGUACCGAGUGAGGAAGCCCCGGCUAACUCUGUGCCAGCAGCCGCGGUAAUACAGAGGGGGCAAGCGUUGUUCGGAAUUACUGGGCGUAAAGGGCGCGUAGGCGGCCCGCUAAGUCGAACGUGAAAUCCCCGAGCUCAACUCGGGAACUGCGUCCGAUACUGGUGGGCUUGAAUCCGGGAGAGGGAUGCGGAAUUCCAGGUGUAGCGGUGAAAUGCGUAGAUAUCUGGAGGAACACCGGUGGCGAAGGCGGCAUCCUGGACCGGCAUUGACGCUGAGGCGCGAAAGCUAGGGGAGCAAACGGGAUUAGAUACCCCGGUAGUCCUAGCCCUAAACGAUGAAUGCUUGGUGUGGCGGGUAUCGAUCCCUGCCGUGCCGAAGCUAACGCAUU
Molecule: ribosomal RNA, 806 nt
Filed under: uncultured Acidobacteriota bacterium
Lineage: Bacteria; Pseudomonadati; Acidobacteriota
Description: bacterial SSU rRNA
Rfam family: Bacterial small subunit ribosomal RNA
Source: RNAcentral